This 70-nucleotide transfer RNA is filed under the name Siganus canaliculatus (white-spotted rabbitfish). Its description in RNAcentral is "tRNA-Pro". It matches the Rfam family "tRNA". Rfam says of the family: Transfer RNA (tRNA) molecules are approximately 80 nucleotides in length. Their secondary structure includes four short double-helical elements and three loops (D, anti-codon, and T loops). Lineage: Eukaryota; Metazoa; Chordata; Actinopteri; Siganidae. RNAcentral also lists the same sequence under 4 other names. The record is from RNAcentral.
CAAAGAGUAGUUUAACUAAGAAUACUAGCUUUGGGAGUUAGUGGUAGGGGUUAAAAUCCCUUCUCUUUGA